UUUGACGAUCUGCAUCCCUUGCGAGUGCUCGUGCAGUUCCGAAAGAACGAAGGAGGUAACGCGCGCUAUUAGUGUGUGUGCGUGUGUGUGCUAGGGAGCUUCUUUUGAGCGGGGAAUAGCGUACAUGAAAUUAGUGCGUGCGUGCGUGUGUGUGCGCAUCCGACCUCCCUUCCCUCCCGCGUUCUAGUUCACAAUUUUCCCAUCACCUCGCAUAUUCGUGAGCCUCUACUGCAAACAUCUACGAAAGGGACCAAACGAGGAAGUUAUCGAACAAAGAAAAACACUAAAGGAAUCCCAUUCCUGUGGCUUUUCCUUUCGGCACCGGCAUCUCCGACUUCCUCUCCAUACACAGGCGUGGCGCUCACAUUCUCUCUGUUCGCUUACCACCGAGCCCCAUCAUCGUCAAAGACGCUUCCACAUUGCUGUUGCUGUUUUCUCGUUUUGUUUUUCGACCACCGUUUCAACAUCAAAAAAGAAGAGCCCCAAGUGACUCUCAAACGGCGAGAAGGGAGAGGGGAGCGCUAGGGCGUCUUUUGGCCUUCCCCUUCAACUAACCUACACUAACCAAUCACACACAUAUACUCUCACUCUCUCGAGCUGUACAUCCAUUUCGUUCUCUAUUUCCUUUUAUCUAUCUGAAUCCUCGUAAGAGGAGUUGUGGUGCUUGGAUCCGUGCCACGCAACUGUUUUCGCCUUUGACUGAAAAGGUGAGCGAAAGGGGAGACAAGGGGCGCCGCGCGCUCUCGGCACUUCGCGCGUCCUCCCUCCAAGAAGAGUUGGAGGAGCCCAUCUUUUUUUUUUUUUCGCUACCUCCUUCUCUUUGUUCUUUGUCUUGUCUUACUUUUCUCUCCGACUUCAGCACCUCGUGACUCUCUCACCGAGGUGGACUCUCUCCCUUUUCCUUUGCCUCGUAGUAGAGGAGAGGCAGUUAAGCCGGGACACGGGGUGGUGCGAGAAAAAAGAAGAGGUGUAAAGAAAACAGCAAUAGGGGAUAACUGAAACGCAAAGGCAGGAAGAAGAAGAUCAUCUCAAGUCUCUUUUCCUACCUCGCUCUUCUCUUUCGGUUCUUUCUCUCGUACUAAAAGGGCUGUGCGGGGGCAGGGUGAGCUCUGCGGCGUUUCCGUCGGCUUGUGCUCUGAAGUGGUCGUUCGCCACCUCGACGUAGCGGAGCAGUGCCACAGCGACACAUACAAAAGUCGUGGACAACGUAUUCAGCAAAAAACACGAAGAAACAGCGAGAUAGAGAAAGAGCGCAAAUUGUGGUACGUAUUGGUCCUUGUUUCUUUGUUUUGGUGCUUGCAACUCCUUUUCUUUUUUAGUUUAUUUCUUGCUCCUCUGGGACUGUUGUGUGUGUGUGUGUGUGUGCGUGAUUCCGUGCCAUUUUUUUUCUGCCUUUUCUACCUCUGCCUCUUGGACGUGCCGGUGUGCGUCUUCUGUGCAUUUUUUCCUUUUUUCUUGUCUUGAAGCAGUCUUCCAAAAGCGUCGAUACGGAACCGCAGGAGGGGCAAAACACAGACAGGCGCGGCGGGCACACAAAAACUCAAGGCGGGAGAGGAGGAAGGGUGAGCCGAAGUAGAACAAAAAGAGUGCAGUAGAGAUCAUUAAGCGCUGGCUCUGUGCGUGUGCACAUCGACUUCUCGCACUUGCAUGCGGGGGUAAGUUAUAAGCACACACACAGACAUCUGUGAGGGGAACAAAAACGUAUAGAGUCACAGUUGCUUUUUAGUCUGCCGUCCUUUCACACCUCGCCUUUCACUUCGGCCUGGUGUGCAUGCGUGUGGGUGUGCUCAUCUCCGCCUUCCCGAGUUUCUCAUCCGGAGCGCCUUCGCCUUCUACCUUGAUUGCGCCGGUUCCGCACACGUUUUAUCUCGAUUCGCUGUCUUCUAUAUUUUGACUACCUUCUUUUUCUGCGAGGCCUUCUCUCUCUUGCGUUGCUCGCCUUUGAUUUCCCCACUCCCUCUCGCGUUUAUUUGUCUGGCUUUUCAUUUUUUUUUUGUGUGUGUGUUUGCGUGUGUUGAUCAAGGAGCAGGAGAGCAGCGGGAGGAAGAAACAUACGCAAGUACCCCUUUCCAUCCCAGGUGUAUCACCUACGGCAGCUAAUACGACGGCGUAGCUUGCAUAUCUCUGCCCUCUCCCCUUUUCUCUCUUUCCUCAUCCUUUCCUUUGCUUGCCUUUCUUCCCGCUUUUUUCUUUGUUUUACUCUUUUUUUAGCCGUCUUGUUUUCUCCCGCCCCUCCCGCAUUCCUUCUCUUCACCCCUCUCUCUGUUCGACCUGUUUGCUUCUCCUCCUCUCGAUUUCUCUCUGUCGGCUUUCUCUCCUUUCACGUGUUGUGUGUUCAUUCUCAUUCGCUGCUGCCGCCGCUCUCUUUUCUGUUGUCGUGUCGUAUGUUUGUCUUCUUUAGCUGCACGCGUGCGUGUGUGUGUGUGCUUACUUCCUCUUCUGCGGCGGAGCGGGAACUCCUGUGGGCUGGGUCGCGAAGCGCAUUUUGCCCCCUUUCUCUUCCCUCCCCUCUUCUUUCACUCCUCUCCUUUCGUUUCGCUUUCCCUAGGACGGCUCUGCUCUGUCCUCUUUAGUAUUUUUUUUUCCUCGACGACUCUUUUCCGUGCUCUCUAGUACCGCAGAAAAUACCUCAUCUCCCCCUCGCCCUUUGUAUGUGUGCGCCUUUUCCCCUUUUUUUUUUCGGAUUUUACUUGGCUCUCCCGUCGUUCUCUCGGUUGUCUCAAGCGCGUUCCAUUACCAUCUGCUACACUCCUUCUUUCAGUUCUCCUCGGCUUUACUUUUUCCGACCCUCUCUCCUCUUCCCUUUUGGCGCCCCCUUGUUGUCGCCGUUUUCUCGCUUUUCGAGUCUGCGCCGCUUCCCCGGUCAGCCGUGUCUCUCUCUCUCUCUUUCGUUGACCAAGCGAGAGGGCACUGCGAAGAGGAGAGAGGGAAGAGCAGCAAAGCGCCGGGCGCUGCCUCAGUCACACGCCCACCACCCGGACUCACGUGGGUGCCUACUUGUGCAUCCAUACGUUCCAGUUUGUGUGUGGGCGUGCGUGGGGGGCCUGUGUCGGAGGCGGGCUCGUCUUCCCCCUUUUUCUUUCUCCCGCCUUCGCUGGCUCUCUCUUUGUGGACGGGAGGCUGCGUAGUCUUUUUCGCCGGCUUUCAAAAGCCGGUUUUCAGAGCAUUCGGGCCAGUGAAGAUGCACUCUCGCGAAAAUGUAGGCUACGCGCGGCCGGGCGGGGUUGACAUUGACCUCCCCACAGAGGGCAGCAUCCCCAUCUCUCGUGGCUGUACCGCCUCCCGGCGUAUCGUCAGGUCGCUCAAGAAUCCGCUGGCGUGCGUGAUGCAGCUGGUACCGCUGGACAGUGGCGAGAACAGUCGCCCACCUCAUCUGCUUUCACGCUUCAACACGGCUAGCAUCCCGAGUGAGGCUUCCGUGAGCGAGGUGCGCAGUGAGCUGUGCAGUGUUGCAAUGGAGGAGCAGACAGAGGAUUCGACAUCGUCGUUCUUCGACCAUCGACGCUUACGGCAUGGUGGCAAAGUAAGCAGCUCCAUGAGCCGCAGCCGCGCAUCACGGGUGGGGCACGAGAUCCGUGCGCGUAUGCGCCGCAGCUUUCCCAGCGGUAGCAGUCGCGAGGUGGAGGAGAGUUUCCUCAGCUACAGCGAUGACCCCUCUUUCUACGCGUGCGACUCCGACGCGUCUUCGAAUUCUGCAGAAACGGAGGGCUCAAGUCACAGCAUGUCCUACACAGCCAUCUCGGAAAGUGUACCGAGCUGCAGCCUCACCGGCCUGACUGAGAAUAAAUACGCCGUCACUGGAUGGGCGAGCCGUUUCCGCAAGCCCAACGUCCCACCUCCGCAUAGGGAGUCGAACAGCUUUGGUAGCAUCUUCGGCUCCGGCGGGAUUGACCCAUACAACGGUGCCAGCGUCAACGCACACCACCAGGCACGCGACAGCGCCGCCGCGGAUGUAGCAGUGGGGAUAGCGGCAGAGCCUCGCAUAGCGGCUGCUGUUCCGCAGAGGGACCCGCCCGUGGUCGUUAUCUCCCCUUCCGCAUCUAGUGCGCGGGUAAACACAGCUCGAACCUCGCAUGUCGCUGCAUCCACAGCAGCACAGAGCGCUCCAAGUGCCUCGGUGGCGCGACUCUGUGACGGGGGAUUACAGUUCACCGCCGACAACUCGUCUGCGGUCCAGGGUACGGAUCGCGGCAGCCCUCUGAGUAACUCCAUUGACCAGCGGCCACGCGUACAGAGUGUCAAACUGCUGGAACGUGUCGGACGUGGCACAUUCGGCGAUGUCUAUAGGGCCCAGGACCUGGACAGCGGCAACAUCAUUGCCGUGAAGGAGAUUAUUGUGCCACACGACUUCACCAAGGACGUGGAGAAGCAGUUGGCCGCUCUCGAGUCGGAGAUUCGUGUCAUGCGUCGACUGCACCAUCCUCACGUUGUGACUUAUCUCGGCGCUGUGCGCGAGAAUAACUCCCUUCGCAUUUUCAUGGAGUUUGUAGGGGGUGGCACUGUGGGCAGCAAGCUGGAGAGCGUCGGCGGUCUCUCCGAGGAGAAGACGCGCGACUACACAGCCCAGCUGCUAGAGGGGCUCGAGUACCUGCACGUCUCGCACAUCCUUCAUCGCGACCUGAAGGGUGAUAACCUUUUCCUCACAGAGGACGACCAGCUCAAGCUGGGCGACUUUGGGCAGAGCAAGGAGUUGGCGGACACCCUCAUCACGCGGUCCGUGCAAGGUACUCCAAGCUUCAUGUCACCCGAGAUGAUUGCCUGCUCUGGAUACUCGUUUGAGGCAGAUGUAUGGUCGGUGGGGUGCUGCGUCAUUCAAAUGCUCACUGGCAAGCCGCCAUUCGCGAACCUCGACAACCAGAUGGCGGUGAUGUUCGCCAUCAUCAGCUCCAAGAUCGAGGAUCAGAUUCCGGCAUGCGCUUCCGAAGGCGCGAAGGACUUUAUUCGCAUGUGCACCAAGACCAACAUCAAGGAUCGGUGGAACGCCUCGCAACUGCGUCGGCACCCUUGGCUCCUAGGACAAGGCGCUCCAGCAGCCGCCACAGCAUCCGCAGCAGUGACCAAGGCUGCCGGUGAGCGGAGGGAGGGCGCUGGUCACAAGCCCAUCGCCGCGCACCCGCCGCUGAAGACUAAAGAGCCGGCGCACCCGAAUCCACACCCUGGCAAGCCUCCUCGCUCCAUUCUUUUAGACACCGCCGCCCUUGCGAAGGCGAAAGGCGGCGACGACAUGACGAAAGAUCCGAGCAGCAGCAGCCCCGGUGGGUAUCAGUACUCACUCGAGGACGAGACGGGCGACCACGAGGCGGGCGGUACUACGAGUAGCAACCUUUCUUCCUCCAAAAGCGAGACGCCGAGCUCCAAAAACGCGGCGGCGACCAGGCAUGCGGGCGUCCCUUUUUCGGGGUCGUCCCCACUCAGCGAAGGCGCGUCGAUGGAAAGCCGUCACAGGUCACCUAUGGCGUUACCGGAGGCUUUGCCAAGUGGAGGGAGGCUAGACCGCACGCACGAGAGUGCCCAUAGGGCGACCCCGGGGCAGGGUGAUUCGCUAGUGAUGGUGGGACAAGAGGGUAGUGGUGGCAGCGGUGCACGGGGGCGGAGGAAGUCGCCACCGGAGCCGGCGCAGCGGCCGCAACGGCCUGCGCACCUGCACAAAGAGAGAUCGCCACGCCACCGAGCGUUGAUGACGGGAAGCGCUGCGGCUGUGGAGUCUUCGUCGAAGAGACGAUCGAACCCGAGCCCGGUGUCACGCGCUCUUAACACACCUGUUCAUAACCGGGCCAACCUCAGCACUUCUCCCAGCAAACAGCGUGCCGAUCUUCGACCGGCAGGCUCGUCGAUCUACCGUGUCUCGGGCGUUGCCAACCAGCCGAGCCGCACCACACCGAACAAAACUUCUUCCCCCGGAAAGAAGCGCCAAACGACGGCGGUACGGGCAACUGGGCACGCACUGAAAGACGAUCACAAGGCGUAGCCGGCGCGGUACGCGCCCAUAUGCGCACGUAUAGGCGUCGCUGUGAGAGGCUGCGUACCCUAGUUGUCGCGUGCUGUUCACUCGGCUGCGUGAUGCUAUCCAUGGUCACUACUCUCCGAUGUGCAGUUUUCAUCGCUUUUUUUCUUCCUAUCACCAUUGUUCAUUUUAGGCGUUCACUUCCGUGGCUCCCUACUGUUACGUGUACGUGUGCGUUUUUUUUUUACCUUUCAAGGGCUGAGAUGCGGAUUGCCCUUUGGUGGAACGCCGGUGGUGGCGAUGUACGGCAUUUCGAAAAAGCCGCGCGUAUGCUGAAGGUAGAAGGAACGGAGCGUUCUUCUUGUGCCCUUUCCUGUGGUUGUACUCCAGAGUGAAGCUGUCGAUGCUACAUUGCUGCCCACGCUGCUCCUUCAUGACUCAUGGAAGUGGGCUUAUGUAUGCGUGCGUGUGCGUGUGAAGGAGUGUGCUCUGUGACCCUCUGCUACCGUUGCGUGCUGCGAUGUAUGGUCGUCUCUUUUUCUUUGUGCUUUACAUGUUUUUUUUUUUUUUCAAGCGUGUUCGUGUACGUGCUUCCCUCUUUGCUUUCUUUGCAAUUUCCAUAUAUACAUGUGUGUAUAUCCACCGCUGUCGUUUGAUCUGCGUGUGCGCUUUACGCUGGUACGUGUGCGUUCCCCUUCAGCAUCUUCCUUUUCCCGCACCCUCCCCUCUCUCCUUCCUUUCUCGCCUGCCUCCCGCUUCUGCUGCCUGUAGAUUUGACUUCUUUUUUUUUUGUGUCGCUUCGCUUCUCGACUCGGUUGCGCAAAGUUCAGCAUCGUCCCUCCCCCCAACAGGGCGGAGUUGCCCUUCUCUUUUCUGGAUUUCAUUAUUGGGAGGGGAUGGGCGGCAGCUGCGGGCCUUGGCACUUUGAUCGUGUGCUCCCUUUUUUUUCAGAGGCUCGGCGGGCGUCGGCGCGCCCCCUCCAUUCCUGUGUUUCCGGCUCUCACCUCCCAUUCUACCCGCCCUCCUGUUCUUCCUUCUCCCCCUCCACCCGUGUUGGUGUACGUAUAAAACAAUAGGUGAAGAGGAAAGAGCAAAGAAAAACGAGCAGCCGCAUUUUUGUUUUCACACCUCCCGCUUCUUCUGUCUUCCCCUUCUCCCACUCUUGAGAUAUCUUCUUCAUUUCUCGGUGGCUUCUUUUCUCCUCUCUCCACGCAGCCGGCAUGCGCUGACCCCCUUGCUCUUUCCCCGCGUACACGCACGCAUAUGCACUCCCAAUGAAGAAGAUAGGACCCCGAGAACGGGGAGAGGGCGAGAAGGCACGGAGGACUAUCAAUGUGGACAAGACGGAGAGAACGAGCGUCACUGAGCGUUUCCCUAUGCACGGCGCUGAACUUCUUUCUCUUUUUGCGUGUAUUGUUCGGGUGGUGCUGCGACCUGCUUCUGUUUCUUUUUUCGCCUCUUCUAUUCGAUCACGUCUCGCCCUUCUUCAGCUUGCCGCCAGCUUUCACACAGCACACCAGGGGAGCUUGCGUGUCCCACGCCAAGAAAGGAGGAAGCUGUGAAAGAGACGGUCAGCUGCCCCCACUGCUUUUCUCUCACCUUCCCUCUUCUCUCCCAACACAACGAACCCAAAGCGACGGGCGGCGUGGCAUAUUUCUCUUCAAAGGCGUUUUACCUCUUUUAUACGCAGCGUCUCUCGAGAGAGCUCAAAGGAGAGAGGGGCACACACAACAGGAAAAAAACGCGAAUCAAAACAUCAACCAAACAGCCGACAACAGCAAGCGCACCCCCCCCAAAAAAAAAGGAAUGAUGAGAGGGAUCGAAAAAGGUGGAGCAGCGAUCAACAGUCAUCGUGGUGUGAUCGGGCCUUUUCACACAACGUUUUAUAGUACCUGUGCCGUGGUUUCUUUCUAUUGGAGCUGUCACAUUGAAUGCACAUCUGCAUCGUGGUUCGCCGUUCUUGAGUAUGCGUCCCUUCUUAUUACUUGUCUGUGCGUGGGUGGCUUCGGUCGCUCACACCCCUUUUUUAUUGUCGGACUUGUAUACAUUUCUUCACCGCCAAAAAAAAAAACAAACACAAAAAACGCGCACGCGCACGCAUUCCCCCUUGCUGUGAAGCGGGAGGAAAGGGUGAAAAAAAAACAAGAUUCCCAACGGCUAUGCGUGCCUUCUCCUGUCCCUUUUUGCUUCGUGAUUGUCUUCCUUUGUGUGUGUGUGUGUGUUUGCAUGUGUGUCUCCCCCCUCCCCCCUCCCCCACAUAACCGCGCCUUCGCUUCUUUCUCUCAUUUUGCCGAUUGCUCUCCUUUCCGUCUGCCAUCCUUUUCCUUCGAUUCCGGCCCCCUAGUUGAUCAUUGUCGAGGCCAAGAUGUGUGCUGCCGCGUGUUUUCCACCGCUCCUUGCACUGAUGUGUGUUGAACACGCACGUACGCACGCUUAACGUUCGAGAUAAGCUCUUGCAUACAGGCAUUUUUACACUAGCACUUGUUCUCUCCCCCAGCGCGCGCUUCGCUGUGAACCCUCCCCCUCCCCCAACCUCUCUUCCGUGCGCUGACCUCCUCUCCUUUCUCCUCCGCCCCUUCUUUUUCCCCGUCUCUGUUGUGUCGACGCCUGCGGAGCAGAAAAGAGUGAAGGGUGGGGCGGCGCUUUGUGAUUGGCAUCCUCUUGUUGGUUUCACUGCUGUGGUGGUGCUUGUCGUUGCCCUCCACCUCGCUCUCAUUUUGGCUGUUUUGGUCUUGUAUCGCUCUCUUCCUAACUCGCGGCUGUAGCACGGCUCUCUCUUUUCUCUCCCUCCCUUCCUCUUUGCGUGCGUGCGUGCGUGUGUGUGUGUGUGCCUUUUCCUCUGUGUAGGGUGUUUUUCUUUCUUCUGCGCUUCUUGUUUUUUUUUUUGUCUGCCGUCUCUAGACAUGUGUAUGCGUGCCAGUGCGUGUGGGUGCGCCGCCGGUCUGUGAGUACGUUGUUUUAGUUUCUACCGGGUUUAUCACGUCGUUUCAUCUCCAGCCACGCUACCUUUUUUUUCAUAUCUUUCUCUUUGGUACACCACAGCCUCCCCCUUCUCCCCUUAUUCCGCUACAGCGCACAAGGCUGUGCCACACUGGUGAGAGUUUCUGUUCCUCUUACGCCUCUAUCGUUUAGAGAACCCUUUGCGGGCAGAUGGUGGUGCGAGGGUGGGCGCUGAGGGAAAAAGAAGAGGAAGAUGGAGAGGUCCGAAAAAGAGAGCAAGGGGAGAGUUUCCACGUGCUCGAGUAGGCCUCUCUCUCCUCUCUCCUAAACUGACCGCGUGAGCAGCUGACCUCAAGGGGGGGGGGCUUCUCUUUUUCUCCCCCUCUCUCUGUAGAUGUUGUGCGUAGAUGUUCUUCGCCUCACUUGUCUCCUCCACCUCCAGCAUCGCCCCACUUACGCGCUUUUUUCACCGAAUAUGCGUCUUUGAUUGUGUGGUGCUGCGCUUCUGUUCGUGGUUUGUCUGCUUCUCUUCCACUGCACCUUCCCUCUGUUGUCGUCGUGUUGUCGGUGCGCCUCCUUUUUUCGCGAGACCCCCUUUCCCCCUUUGUCUCUAUGAUAAGAUGCGUACUGGACUCCUUUGAGCAUGGUGCGGCGAACCCCUUGGAUAUAUUGUGUCCGCGCGUCCCGUUUACAUAUACAGGCGUUUUUCUUUUUUUUUUUUCGCUUUUCCUUUGCCCCUCCUUUUCUUUUUAUGCAUUGAAUACACACCGCAAUCUAUUGGAAGUACAUCUCUUCUCCCCCUUCUCUUCCGUCUCUGUCUCUUUACUGUUUUCUUUUUUCGUCUUUCGUUUUCUUCUCCCUCUCUGGUGCAGCUCGUCUUCAUGCUUAUUUUUUCCCCCUUGUUUUCUUUUUCUGCCCUUUGGUCCUCUUUGUUUUAACUUCCGCCCCUCCCCCUCCUUCUCUCCUUUCCUAUCUUUCCGUUUGCUUUUCCCACGCCAUUUUUGUUCUGUGUCUGUACGCUGGCACCGGAGAGCACGCCAGGGUGAGAAAGAUAAAUGAACCGCUUUAUUUUUCGGUUCAACGCGUGUCCAUUUAACUGCCUUAGAAUAUGAGUCGAGCUCCACUCUGACUCCCCCCUUCCGGUCCCGUCACAGACUCCAUCGCGUGGUGCGAAGCAGCGCUAGACACAUGCCAGUACAGCAAUGCGCCCGGCUCAGCCGUCGGAGCGCGAGCCCUGCUUCACACUCUGCCCACCGACCCGCGCCCCGCAGGUCGCCUCACAGCCGCUCCCCCACUAUGCCGGGCGCCACCGGGUGCAUUCUCUCCUCAGGGGUGGGUGGGUGGCUCCCCACACCCGCGUACGCAGUGCGAGGGCCGGGGGUGGGAUUACACGCUCGAGCCACGCUGAUGCUUCGCCUACCAUAUGGGUGGCGCAAGCCUGUGCACUGCCGCAGGUCGCUCCGCCGCAGCGCCAUCCAGGGCCCGACCGCCGGCAUCAGUGGGGCGGUACAUCGCUCUGACCUCCCCACGUGGCAGGUGCUUCACCGCGCCACCACCAGAGGCGGCUCGGCAUUGGGCAGGGGGAGAGACGAAGGAGGGGCUGCGUGGCCUCCCCAGACAGAGUGGGGGCACUGGGCCCUGAGAUGCCACGCGCUGCGACAUCACCCCGCCCCCCCCCCUGUCAUCCGGGUGAAGGGUGAAUGUAUGGCAGGAAAGGGAAAAGAGAAGGCAGGGCAGUGAGCGAAUAGAUGCGUGCUCUCGCCGCUUCUUGUGAUCUCUCUUGUUCUGUUACCUCUCUUCUUCCGCAGCCACUGCCUCCUCUUCUUCCCCCUUGACACUCUCAUCGGGUCCCUCGCCCGUCCGUUCGCCCAUCGAAUGGCGGUCGUAUCUUACUUGUGCGUGUUUUUCUCUAGCGUCACCUGCCGACGUUGAGGCCCGCAGCUUCUGUUUUUUUUUUUGUUUUCUGCGCUUUAUAGUCCUCCCUUUUUUUUUUGUGCAUUGACUUCGUUCGUAGUGCGAACAUGAAACAUACGGCUUUCUCUUGUCGGCUUUUUUUUUGCCGUUGCGUUGACGUCUCUUUCCCUUUGCAUGUGUCGUGUCUCUCUCUCUCUCUUGCCAUAUCUUGUUGUUCCUCUUCCUCGUUGCUUUACCUUGCCACUCACACCUCUCUCUCUGUCGUUGUCGCAGCUGUCGGCGUAAUGUGUUCGUGUUGCUGUUAUUAUCAUGAAUUUUAUUAUUAUUUUUCGUUUCGCUGCCGGUUAUCUUCUUACAGUCUUCUCUCGCAUUGCUCGUGCGCACAUCUCCGCUUUUUUUUUGCCCCCCCCCCCCCUCUCUCUUUUCCUUACCAACCCCUACCCGUGCUCUCUCUCGCUUACAAUCCCGUGCUGCUCUCUUUGUGCAUACGGACACCACAAAAAAGCAAGCAACCGCAACUACUUAGAGCGCUUCCACGCGGUGGCGAGCACUCACCUGCCCCUUUCUGGCACCCUCCGCAUCGCCUUUGCGCACGUGUUCUGGUGGGCGGUGUCGGGGGUCGUGGUGGCGGUGGUGACGCCCACGUGCGGAGCAGCCAAUGAAGCAAAGAGAGACACUGAAAUAAAAGCGUGAAACGACGCAAACAAAAAAGGAUGUCACUCAUUCAUAGUCAAGUGUAGUGAGGGAGGCGACAGAGCUGGGAGGCGUUUCCCAAGGAUGUGCGAGAGUAGAGGGCGACGUCCCCUUACCCUCCCCCCGGUUUUCUUCCCCUUUCCACAAAAGGAAAAGCGUACGCGCAGACACGCACGCACAAACAGCGCACGCAGUGUGGCGCCAAUUCCUCACCGCGUCGGCCGAAGUACACAGAUGUCGACGGACGUCGGUUGCUCACGUCUCUAAAGUCAUCGAUGCACAUUUUUGUUUUGUUGGCUCGCGUGUCCGCGUCUUCCUUUCUAUUUCUGUAUGUGGUGCUCUUUAGCGGGCUUGUGCCUCUAUCCUGUGCUCUCUUCCUCUCAGUUGUGUGCGUGCGUGUCGUCUUUUGGGUUUUUGCUCCCCUCUUCUGUUUAUGUCUUCGUCGCCUCUUGCUCUGCGUGUUCCCUUUCGUUUUUUUUUUUCGUUUCUCUGCAUCUUUGCUUCACCGCCAACUCGCCGUCUGAACAUGUAUUCGUAUCCCUCACUCCUUACCUGCAAUCGCCACUCAUAAACAUGUAAACGGAAGCAGAGAAUUGAACG
This 12091-nucleotide unclassified non-coding RNA is filed under the name Leishmania donovani. Its description in RNAcentral is "gene:LdHU3.30.0800(CDS-product:protein_kinase_put ative)". The record is from RNAcentral. Lineage: Eukaryota; Euglenozoa; Kinetoplastea; Trypanosomatida; Trypanosomatidae.